Molecule: non-coding RNA, 408 nt
Organism: Maylandia zebra (zebra mbuna)
Lineage: Eukaryota; Metazoa; Chordata; Actinopteri; Cichliformes; Cichlidae
Source: the annotation of a RefSeq genome assembly
AUGACUUUGAUCUGCGUCCUCAUCUGGACUCUCCUCUGCUGCUGCUUCACAGAGUCCAGAGGACAGAUCACAGUGACUCAGCCUGGAGCAGUGAGCUCUGCUGUGGGAGCAACUGUGAGCAUCAAGUGUACGACCAGUCAGAAUGUUUAUGUUCAUAGCAACUAUCAGCGUUUAGCCUGGUACCAACAGAAAGAUGGAGGAGUUCCUAAACUGCUCAUUUACUAUGCUAGCACUCAACAAUCAGGGAUUCCAGCUCGUUUUACAGGCAGUGGAUCAAACUCUGACUUCACUCUGACCAUCAGUGGAGUCCAGGCUGAAGAUGCAGCAGUUUAUUACUGUCAGAGUUAUCACUAUCCUAACAGUCGUACAAAAACCUCCCUCAGUCAGACUGAACAGAAUCUGAACUGA